This 214-nucleotide long non-coding RNA is filed under the name Prunus dulcis (almond). Its description in RNAcentral is "sRNA ncRNA". The record is from RNAcentral. Lineage: Eukaryota; Viridiplantae; Streptophyta; Magnoliopsida; Rosales; Rosaceae.
CACAGGGCUAGCUGAUGCAAGUGAAAAUGGCAAAGAGCAAAGAUGACAUAAAGUAUGGGACUUCGCAAGCGAGGCUGAACGAGGAUGAAGCUGUGAGGGUUGCAUACGAAAUUCCUUCUUCUGCCGCUGGUUUUCUCUUUGUUAUGUGUUCGUUGUUGUAUGCUUUGAGUUGUAAGUUUUCUUCUUUCUUUUUUCCUCUCCUUGAGUGUAUUUG